RNAcentral lists this ribosomal RNA (253 nucleotides) under uncultured bacterium. RNAcentral's name for it is "partial 16S ribosomal RNA". It matches the Rfam family "Bacterial small subunit ribosomal RNA", at positions 524 to 776 of the family's 1533-position model. The record is from RNAcentral.
UACGGAGGGUGCAAGCGUUAUCCGGAUUUACUGGGUUUAAAGGGUGCGUAGGUGGGUCUGUAAGUCAGUGGUGAAAUCUCCGGGCUUAACCCGGAAACUGCCAUUGAUACUAUAGGUCUUGAGUUAUCUGGAGGUAAGCGGAAUAUGUCAUGUAGCGGUGAAAUGCGUAGAUAUGACAUAGGACACCAAUUGCGAAGGCAGCUUACUACGGAUACAGUGACACUGAGGCACGAAAGCGUGGGUAGCAAACAGG